RNAcentral lists this ribosomal RNA (497 nucleotides) under uncultured bacterium. RNAcentral's name for it is "partial 16S ribosomal RNA". It matches the Rfam family "Bacterial small subunit ribosomal RNA", at positions 28 to 507 of the family's 1533-position model. The record is from RNAcentral.
GAUGAACGCUGGCGGCGUGCCUAAUACAUGCAAGUCGAGCGAACGGACGAGAAGCUUGCUUCUCUGAUGUUAGCGGCGGACGGGUGAGUAACACGUGGAUAACCUACCUAUAAGACUGGGAUAACUUCGGGAAACCGGAGCUAAUACCGGAUAAUAUUUUGAACCGCAUGGUUCAAAAGUGAAAGACGGUCUUGCUGUCACUUAUAGCUGGAUCCGCGCUGCAUUAGCUGGUUGUUAAGGUAACUGCUUACCAAGGCAACGAUGCAUAGCCGACCUGAGAGGGUGAUCGCCCACACUGGAACGUGGACACGGUCCAGACUCCUACGGGAGGCAGCAGUAGGGAAUCUUCCGCAAUGGGCGAAAGCCUGACGGAGCAACGCCGCGUGAGUGAUGAAGGUCUUCGGAUCGUAAAACUCUGUUAUUAGGGAAGAACAUAUGUGUAAGUAACUGUGCACAUCUUGACGGUACCUAAUCAGAAAGCCACGGCUAACUACGUG